GAAUCGCUAGUAAUCGUGGAUCAGAAUGGCACGGUGAAUACGUUCCCGGGCCUUGUACACACCGCCCGUCACACCAUGGGAGUGGACUGCACCAGAAGUGGUUAGCCUAACUUCGGAGGGCGAUCACCACGGUGUGGUUCAUGACUGGGGUGGAGUCGUAACAAGGUAGCCGUAGGGGAACCUGCGGCUGGAUCACCUCCUU
This 202-nucleotide ribosomal RNA is filed under the name Halomonas sp. IO4-Hm1. RNAcentral describes it as "partial 16S ribosomal RNA". It matches the Rfam family "Bacterial small subunit ribosomal RNA", at positions 1329 to 1532 of the family's 1533-position model. The record is from RNAcentral. Lineage: Bacteria; Pseudomonadati; Pseudomonadota; Gammaproteobacteria; Oceanospirillales; Halomonadaceae.